Molecule: long non-coding RNA, 483 nt
Filed under: Homo sapiens (human)
Lineage: Eukaryota; Metazoa; Chordata; Mammalia; Primates; Hominidae
Description: non-protein coding lnc-PTPN5-1:1
Source: RNAcentral
GGAAGAAGGAGACGGGCCACCCUACAGUCCAGGCACUAGCUGAGCCUCCAAAGCCGUGGACACAGCAUUCGAGUGUUGGGAGGGACUGGUCAGUGCUGAAGUCUCACAGGUGAGUGCCCACGCCUGCUGUCACCAUGACAACCAUUCACAGCCGGCAGAUGCUGCAGGAGCACGUGUCCAUGGAGUUCUCCAGCUCCACCACCCACGUGCAGACCUUCUCCCAGACAACCAAGAUCGUGGGAGAGGAGGUCGUGAGGAGGAAGUCCUCGAGCAUAGUGGAGUUCUUCAGCUUAGUGACCCGGAGCUCAAACAUCCCUGCGGGCGACAGCGUCCCUGAGUUCGUGGAGAAGCCUCAACCGGUCACCGCGCCCGAGGGUGUGUUGCUGCCUGUGGCUCACCGGGCUCCAGUGCUUCGCUUUCUAAUCGAGUGCCCCCACCCUCCGUCCUACCCCAACGACCUCCAAUGCUAAACCCUGGCAGAGC